CCCUUAGAAUACUCAAAUUCAAACAUUUCACUGUUCUGCCAUGAGGUUCACAUAUUAUUGUUUCUUAGAAAUAUAGAAGGCCAGGAUAAUAUCGUAUUACCACUCGAUAGGCUGCAUAAUAUUUUCAAUUUAGGUGAGCAGCCAUUCCUACCACGCUAAGUUACAGUACAACAAUAAAUAAAACUAACCUGCCCAAAACCAGAACCAGGAACGACAACAACUCCUGUGGCAUUGAGAAGGCGGCGACAGUAGAAUGCAUCUGGGGCUGUCUUUGCAGCCUCCGCUGCUUUAAUUGCCUUUUGAGGCAGGUUUAUGCAGGGAAAGAGAUACAUU
Non-coding RNA from Malus domestica (apple), 333 nucleotides. The record is from RefSeq and is a predicted model, not a curated record. Lineage: Eukaryota; Viridiplantae; Streptophyta; Magnoliopsida; Rosales; Rosaceae.